Molecule: long non-coding RNA, 1125 nt
Organism: Mauremys reevesii (Reeves's turtle)
Lineage: Eukaryota; Metazoa; Chordata; Testudines; Geoemydidae
Exons: 4
Source: RefSeq, a predicted model, not a curated record
AAAGAUUUAAAACCAGGACCCUCAGCAGGAUAUAACCAACGAGUGAGGAGUGAUAUCCCAAGAGACAUAAAAACCACUCAGUAAUACCCUCUAUUAAACUAGAUCAAUAUAUCUACACACUAAAGAUCCCAAUCACUGGAUCAACAUGCUGUCUUCAUGAACUAUUACAGAGCAACUCCACUUCUGUCACAGAUCGAUAGGAAGGAAAAUUCUGCUGGCUGCUUUGAGGAAAUAGAAAUUAGUCUCUAUAUUUAAUGCAACUUGGGUUCAGGAUUCGCUGCCUAGAAUCCCCACGUGAAAGCUAUCCUGGCAAGCUGAAGAUGUAACCGGAUUUGCACUUGAGAAGAGAAAAUCGACGAGGAACUGAGAGCAUCACAGGAAAAAGAACAUCCUCUUGUGCAGGAAACAUAGACCAGAAUGGGAUGGAUUCCUACAAGUGUCUCUGCCCGGAGUGAGCUAAGCAGCAGUGUUCAAACCACUGAAAUAAGAGUGGUGCAAGACAGAGGAUUUCUCUAUUUUGCACAAUGUCAUUAAUCAAUAUAGCAUUUGACUGCCUCAGCUCUUUUCUUACUACAAGUUCCUGACUAGAGCUGGUGAACAUUUUUGAAAUUUUGAUGGAAUUUGAGGGGAAAAAACAAGAACAUUUUAAAAUAUUUUUUCAUAUUUUUCAUUUUUUUCUGUUUUUUGACCAACUACACAGGUACUUGAAAUGUUUGGAUUCUUCAAGAAAAGGGUAAAAUUAUUUUUAAAAUUCAUUAAAUGUUUUCCCGCGUUUUUCCCAACAAGCUCUAUUUUUGACUAACCGUACCCCUAUCCUUCUCCUUACUGAUACUUUGUGUGUUCUUCUUAACACUACCUGUCAUUAGCCAUCUGUCCAUAUUUCACUGUUACAUACAGAUAUAGUUCUAGUGUGACUUAUACAACCAAAACAAAAAUCCUGACUGUUCUGAGCCCAGUUGAACUAAACAGUUGCUGGGGAACUGAAUCCAUGCUGUAUGGUGAUUGGAGGGGUGGGCUCUGUACAUCAGCAUUUCUGGGUAUUUGUGUUUUCACUGGUACAUCUUGUCUGGUAAAUUAACUACCGUACUUUAUAUAACAAAUUCCCAUGGAAUUUUACAGCUUUGU